GACAUAAAUAAGGUGUACCACGGUGUAUUUAACAUCACCCUUCCCAUCCCUACAGGAAAAACCAACAACUACAGGACCAGCUGGCCAGAGCACGGGACACUGUCAGUGACCUCACAGUCAACCUACAGAGAACCACAAGGACACUCGAGGUCCAACAGGCAGC
Branchiostoma floridae (Florida lancelet) is the source of this 163-nucleotide long non-coding RNA. RefSeq lists it as uncharacterized. Lineage: Eukaryota; Metazoa; Chordata; Leptocardii; Amphioxiformes; Branchiostomatidae. The record is from RefSeq and is a predicted model, not a curated record. The transcript has 3 exons.